Molecule: long non-coding RNA, 1234 nt
Organism: Cyprinodon tularosa
Lineage: Eukaryota; Metazoa; Chordata; Actinopteri; Cyprinodontiformes; Cyprinodontidae
Exons: 2
Source: RefSeq, a predicted model, not a curated record
GGUGGGCCGGACAGAAAGGGUUGAAGAAGGAGAGAGAGAAGGAUGCAGGAUCAGAAGAGGCAACAGCAGACUGAGUGAAAGAUGGAGAAGUAGGACAAGUGCGUUCAGACGUCGACAGCGAUGCGGCUAAUACUCGACCCAGAAUGGAGGGAGGAUGGAACCGAGGAGAGGAUGACGGUCGCAUAUAUGAAGAGCGUCCCCAUUUUGGAAAGAAGGUUAAAGUCUGUCUAAGGUGCAAUUAAAAAGCUGAAUGGUUGAAGGUUUCCGGUCUACACUUCAACACUGAAGUCUACAGCAGGUCUGGCUGAAUUUGCACUGGAAAGGGUGAAGUAACAGAAAAGGAGAGUGAAUGGGGAUUGGGGGAUUGUGGGUGUGAGUGGGUGGGUGGGUAUGCUCACCCUCUGUGAAUUUGCUUCUGUGUGUUUUCCUGUGUUUGACAAAGUUCGGGAGGAGGGGGCGAUGGGGGGUAUCUGAGGAAAGAAAAGGGAAAAUGAGAGCAAGUGGAGGAUUUGAAUGUGGUGUAGAAGGAGGGGGGAUUUUUGGAGGGAAAUGGAGGACCGGGAAGCUUGAAGUUUGUGUGGCCAGACUGUGUGCAGCUUCACAGCAAGAGGAGCGUAAAUUGGUCAGAUUUAUAGAUUGAACCUGCAGGAAGCAUCUUUGCAGGCUGGGAAAUAUGUAUAGAGAAAGAGAAAAUGCAAGAGAGGGACAGAGCGGCCUAGUUGGAGGGCAGAGGGGGGGAUCAAGAGCGAGGCUGCAUUAAUAUGCUAAUGUCUUGAGUGAAUGCACAACAGGCCCACUGACCAGGCUAAUCACUGGUGGACACACACUGAGGCUAAUCCCUAAAGCGGCACUGACACACACGGGAGAGGAGCACAUAUUUAGAUAGUGACAUCUUCAGCAUUAAUUAGUGUCCCUGUUGGAUAUCCCUGAAACGAUCAGGUUUGGGUUUAGGUUUUUUAAAUUAAGUAGAAACUUAGUGACAGCAGGAGGAUUUCAGGUCAGAAGGUAGAGGAACAACUGAUUGCUUCUGUCUGAUUACUAAUCACAAAUAUUAAGGGUUUAUUUGUUGCAGGAAGAAUGUAAUGCAAAUUAAACCACAGAGAGACAAAAACAAUCCAGAGGAGCAUCAAGAGGUUUGCAAACUUUAGACAGCAAAAAACUGUUUCUAACAAAACAAAACAAAAGUAAUUCUUUUAAACUGGCAAAGAUGCUGAAACACCAUCAUCUGUUAAAA